Long non-coding RNA from Onychomys torridus (southern grasshopper mouse), 1305 nucleotides. RefSeq lists it as uncharacterized. The record is from RefSeq and is a predicted model, not a curated record. Lineage: Eukaryota; Metazoa; Chordata; Mammalia; Rodentia; Cricetidae. The transcript is spliced from 6 exons.
GUGUCCUCCUCUGUGCAGCUCUGCAGGGCCAUAGUGCCUCAGCGAGGGUUCCUGCUCUUGAUCCUCCUUCCAUCAUUUUUCUCAGAGCACAAACAUCAUGCAGAACCUCCACAAACUCACAACCUUUAAAGGGCCAUCUUCAGCAUCCUUGAAGUCUAGAAGGUGCUAGGGCCCUUGCUUUCGGGCCAUGGGUAAGCAGUGUUGGCUUUGGAGCUUGGAAUCCCUUAUUCAGACAGAUCCCAAAGGAGCUCAUGUGGUGCACGGUGUUAUCAUCCCACUCUCUCGGAAUCAGGAGAGAGUCACAGUGCUGUUACACGCACGCUACGCUUUUCCCUGGUGAUACUCUGGGAAAUGCAGGCUAUCAUGCUCUCCUCAUUCAGCACUGAGUAAGUGCUUUGGAGUAAGUCAUCCUCUCUAGGCCAAGGAUUCACCCCUCAAAGAACUGAUUCGGACUACUCACUGGACAAUGCAGAUCACAGGAAAUGAGAAACGAGAAGAUUUGGAACUUUCUUUAGAUGUAAGAAAACGAAGCUCUUAACUUUAAUGAACGUGUUCAGGAGGAGACCUUUGCACACAAGCAAGUCACCAGCUUCAUGUGACUGUCAUCAGAUGCUGGAAAAGAAAAUCAGGCUCCGUUUCCCUCAAGCCUGGAGAAGACGACGUGUACACACUCUGGAACCUGGUCAGUCCUGGAGACUCCAUGAUAUCAAACCACUAAGACACAAAGACUUCUUACACCAGGAAAGGGGUAGAAUGAGACACGUUAAACUUGUGACACCAGAAGCUGCCAGCCUGCUGCUUCAUUCAGUGAUGGACUUCUAUCCCUCUGGAGCUGCAAGCCAAGGCUCACCCCUUCUGCUGUGAUGGGGUGACAAAGUGACUAACAGAUCUAGAAAUCUCAGUGUGUGUCCACUGACUACAAGAAAAUGACAAAGGCCCAGGAAGACAAAAGAGCCAACAAUGACAGAAGCAGUGGCAGACCUGGAAGACAUGUCACCUCGCACUGGCGAAGGAACGGUGUUCCAUGAAGAGCCCUGGCCAGUCGCCGUGGACAAGGAGGUUCAUGUGGUGGGAGAACAGAGAUUUGUUUAAGAGGCAGAUGAUUCCAGAGGAGGAAAGCAGCUGUCGGGUGAGUAUCUGCCUCACUUACAGCAGAGUGAAUUAGAAUGGUGACCCACACAGUGUUUCUGGAAAGGUGAUGUAGAAGCCCGUCUCUGUUCCCCCUGCUAAGUCCAGCUGAAACGUCUGGGCACUGUGUGUAAAACAACACAAGAACACCCUGCAAGAUGGCAAGAAGACAAAGCA